GAGAGAGAGAGAGUUGAGCUAGAAUACUAUCGGUAGCAAACGGGCUCUGUUGCUACCCAUUUGUUUUCGAUGUAGCCUCCAAAUCGACGAUCGACACCAUUGAACAUGAUCUAUACAACUUGAAGUAUUUAGAAACCAAAUUUCAAAUCUAUUUAACAUUAUUGACCUAAUGAUCAAAAGGUUUCAAAAUUUAUAACUUUAAUGGUCGAUAUGAGGCGUUUUCUUGUUUAACGGUAUAAAAAUACUCAAAUCAAUUGAAUUUUGGUUAGAAAAUUCUUUAAACUAUUUAGAACAAGAUCUAUACUCUCGAUCUUGAUUAUAAAAUUCAUAUCAUCACUUUACAAAUAAUUUUUAUAAUACUUUACAAACUAGUAUAUAG
RNAcentral lists this long non-coding RNA (379 nucleotides) under Ananas comosus (pineapple). RNAcentral describes it as "long non-coding RNA (ACOM_LNC012649)". Lineage: Eukaryota; Viridiplantae; Streptophyta; Magnoliopsida; Poales; Bromeliaceae. The record is from RNAcentral.